RNAcentral lists this long non-coding RNA (3456 nucleotides) under Salmo salar (Atlantic salmon). Its description in RNAcentral is "lncRNA (ENSSSAG00000082959.1, ENSSSAG00000092730.1)". Lineage: Eukaryota; Metazoa; Chordata; Actinopteri; Salmoniformes; Salmonidae. The record is from RNAcentral.
GUCCAGAUCAUGUUUUCAGGUUCAGAACACAAUUUCAUGCGUCUGAAAGUACAAUAUUCAAAAGUUCUCAUCGCUUGAUGUACAUUUUUACACGUGAUUCUUCAGCAUGUCCUUUCUGCCAUGAACAGGUGAAUAAAGUGCCUAUCUUCUUAAUUUCACACGUUUUGAAAUGAAGCAUUUCUUUACACCUGAUUUUUUUUUUCUCACCUUUUUGUUUUUGCUUUUACAACUGUAGAAAACGCGUGACAAAUGUGAAGGUUUUUUUUUCAAAGUAGGAAAAUGCUAUAGAUGAUUUUCUCUGCCCCAAAAGCCUUUAUAUUUAGAAAAACUAAUGUUUAUAUAGAAGUCCAUUCAUUGAUUCCUUCAAGUAAGCUUAUGAUCGGAAAAACAUCGACAGAGGAGCUCCUUCUCUAACGUUAACAAUCUGCAGGAUGGAGACACUGGGAUGUAUGUCAGAGACCCAUACAGUAGUAACCCCGCCGUAGGCUUGCUUGACAUCUACCAAGAGGUCUGGACCUUUAUGGCUCAGAAAGAACAGGAUAGGUCUAAACAAAGAUACUGGUCAUAUAGCUUUUGUCAAGUGUGUUUAAACUACACUGAUCCAGGGCAAGCAGCCCUGGUCCCACUCCUCUCCCUCAAUCACUACAGUGGCAUUACUUGAACUUCUAUCGCUCCUGUAGCACCAGCAGGUUGGAGAUGUGGACACCACCAUUCCCAUUAUGUACCGCUUCUGUUUUUCAUUUCUUUCUACUUGGAACUGUGGUUCACACAUGUUAUGUUGUCUAAUUCCAGGUGCAUACAGGAAGAAUUUUAUUUUUGUAUACUCCCAUUUUAUUAUAGUGGUCUUUCCACAUGUCAUAAAUAGAGUAGAUGGUUAAAGGGCAUUCCUUUCGUUUGACAUGUGUGCUCAAAGUGUUUAAUCUCUGUCAUUGUGUUUUACAGCAAUCUUCUUCAACGUGGUGACGUGGAACAACCUGAAUUUUUAUUUCUGUUGGUAAGGUAUGGCUUGUGUGAGGUGGUGGGAUUUGUGUGAGUUUAUUUUUUGGUUGUUGAUGAUGAUGAUGAUGACCAGGAGGUGGAUGGCAAAGGGGAGAUCAGAAAAGGUCCUAACCACUAGGUGGUUCUGGAAUCCUGGGAAGGGGGUGCCCUUUAACCAUCUACUCUGUGUUGAUCAAGGUGUUUAUAUGUUGUUUGUUGGGGUGGUUGUGUAGUCUAGAAGGGGGUGCCCGGACGUGUUGAUCAAGGUGUUUAUAUGUUGUUGUUGGGGUGGUUGUGUAGUCUAGAAGGGGGUGCCUGGCCGUGUUGAUCAAGGUGUUUAUAUGUUGUUUGUUGGGGUGGUUGUGUAGUCUAGAAGGGGGUGCCCGGACGUGUUGAUCAAGGUGUUUAUAUGUUGUUGUUUGUUGGGGUGGUUGUGUAGUCUAGAAGGGGGUGCCUGGCCGUGUUGAUCAAGGUGUUUAUAUGUUGUUUGUUGGGGUGGUUGUGUAGUCUAGAAGGGGGUGCCCGGACGUGUUGAUCAAGGUGUUUAUAUGUUGUUGUUGUUGGGGUGGUUGUGUAGUCUAGAAGGGGGUGCCCGGCUGUGUUGAUGAAGGUGUUUAUAUGUUGUUUUUUGGGGUGGUUGUGUAGUCUAGAAGGGGGUGCCCGGCCGUGUUGAUCAAGGUGUUUAUAUGUUGUUUGUUGGGGUGGUUGUGUAGUCUAGAAGGGGGUGCCCGGCUGUGUUGAUGAAGGUGUUUAUAUGUUGUUUUUUGGGGUGGUUGUGUAGUCUAGAAGGGGGUGCCCGGCCGUGUUGAUCAAGGUGUUUAUAUGUUGUUUGUUGGGGUGGUUGUGUAGUCUAGAAGGGGUGCCUGGCCGUGUUGAUCAAGGUGUUUAUAUGUUGUUGUUUGUUGGGGUGGUUGUGUAGUCUAGAAGGGGGUGCCCGGCUGUGUUGAUCAAGGUGUUUAUAUGUUGUUUGUUGGGGUGGUUGUGUAGUCUAGAAGGGGGUGCCUGGCCGUGUUGAUCAAGGUGUUUAUAUGUUGUUUGUUGGGGUGGUUGUGUAGUCUAGAAGGGGGUGCCUGGCCGUGUUGAUGAAGGUGUUUAUAUGUUGUUUGUUGGGGUGGUUGUGUAGUCUAGAAGGGGGUGCCCGGACGUGUUGAUCAAGGUGUUUAUAUGUUGUUUGUUGGGGUGGUUGUGUAGUCUAGAAGGGGGUGCCUGGCCGUGUUGAUCAAGGUGUUUAUAUGUUGUUUGUUGGGGUGGUUGUGUAGUCUAGAAGGGGGUGCCCGGCCGUGUUGAUCAAGGUGUUUAUAUGUUGUUUGUUGGGGUGGUUGUGUAGUCUAGAAGGGGGUGCCCGGACGUGUUGAUCAAGGUGUUUAUAUGUUGUUUGUUGGGGUGGUUGUGUAGUCUAGAAGGGGGUGCCCGGACGUGUUGAUCAAGGUGUUUAUAUGUUGUUUGUUGGGGUGGUUGUGUAGUCUAGAAGGGGGUGCCCGGCCGUGAUGUUCAAGGUUUGCCUGUUCACUCAUCCAGAAGGCGAGGUCAGUACAGAUGCAUCUAAGCUGGGACCGAGAGACUGAAAAACAGCUUCUAUCUCAAGGCCGUCAGACUGUUAAACAGCCAUCACUAACAUACAGUGGCUGCUGCCAACAUACUGACUCAACUCAAGCCACUUUAAUAAUGAAAAAUGUAUGUAAUAAAUGUAUCGCUAGCCACUUUAAACAAUGCCACUUUAUAUAAUGUUUACAUAUCCUACAUUACUCAUGUCAUAUGUAUAUACUGUACUCUAUAUCAUCUACUGCAUCUUGCCAUCUUGAUGUAAUAAAUGUAUCACUAGCCACUUUAAUCAAUGCCACUUUAUAUAAUGUUUACAUACCCUACAUUACUCAUCUCAUAUGUAUAUACUGUACUCUAUACCAUCUACUGCAUCUUGCCUAUGCCGUUCGGCCAUCGCUCAUUCAUAUAUUUUUAUGUACAUAUUCUUAUUCAUUCCUAUACACUUGUGUGUAUAAGGUAGUUAUUGUGAAAUUGUUAGAUAUUACUGCAUGGUCAGAACUAGAAGCACAAGCAUUUCCCUACACUCGCAUUAACAUCUGCUAACCAUGUGUAUGUGACAAAUAAAAUAAGAUUUGAGGUGUUAAAAUGUUUUUUGGGUUGUUUUUUUUUGGUGCGGUUGGUGAAUAUUUUACCCAUUGCCACUCAUUUUACCUGUAGGUAGGUAUUACUGUUCAAUUCAAAGUAAUUCAGAGUAAGUGAGUUCCAGUAAUCGUAGUAGAUGAUGGUCUGGUCUGCCUGGUUGUGGGGUAUUGUAGUAGUUGAUGGUCUGCCUGGUUGUGGGGUAUUGUAGUAGUUGAUGGUCUGUCUGGUUGUGGGGUAUUGUAGUAGUUGAUGGUCUGUCUGGUUGUGGGGUAUUGUAGUAGUUGAUGGUCUGUCUGGUUGUGGGGUAUUGUAGUAGUUGAUGGUCUGGUCUGGUUGUGGGGUAUUGUAGUAGUU